Long non-coding RNA from Myotis brandtii (Brandt's bat), 393 nucleotides. RefSeq lists it as uncharacterized. The record is from RefSeq and is a predicted model, not a curated record. The transcript has 3 exons. Lineage: Eukaryota; Metazoa; Chordata; Mammalia; Chiroptera; Vespertilionidae.
UCUUGGGUCUCUCAACUACUCUAGGCUAGGCUAAGCUAAACUAAACUAAGGUAAGCUAGGUUCUUGGGUCCUUCAGCUACUGUAUCCUAUGCUAAGCUAAGCUAAGCUAGGUCCUCUUGGGUCCCUCAGCUACUCUAGACUAUGCUAAGCUUAGCUAAGCUAAGCUGAGCUAGGUCCUCUUGGGUCCCUCAGCUACACUAGCCUAAGCUAAGCUAAGCUGAGCCAGGUCCUCUUGGGUCCCUCAGCUACUCUAGCCUAAGCUAAGCUAAGCUAAGCUAAGCUAGUUCCUCUUGGGUCCCUCAGCUACUCUAGCCUAAAGUGAGCUAAGCUAGGUCCUCUUGGGUCCCUGAACUACUCUAGCCUAAGCUAAGCUAAGCUAGGAUCACUUGGGUC